Molecule: ribosomal RNA, 253 nt
Filed under: uncultured bacterium
Lineage: Bacteria
Description: partial 16S ribosomal RNA
Rfam family: Bacterial small subunit ribosomal RNA
Source: RNAcentral
UACGUAGGUGGCGAGCGUUGUCCGGAUUUACUGGGCGUAAAGAGCGCGCAGGCGGUCGUUCAAGUCGCGUGUGAAAGCCCCCGGCUCAACUGGGGAGGGUCACGCGAUACUGAUCGACUCGAAGGCAGGAGAGGGUAGUGGAAUUCCCGGUGUAGUGGUGAAAUGCGUAGAUAUCGGGAGGAACACCGAUGGCGAAGGCAGGUCUCUGGGCUGACACUGACGCUCAUGCACGAAAGCGUGGGGAGCAAACAGG